UGGGGGGUGGCCUAGUGGUAGGGCAGUACCUCUUGGCGGUAACAGUCGGCUGUUCGAAUCAGCCCCUCCCAG
Molecule: transfer RNA, 72 nt
Filed under: Mrakia frigida
Lineage: Eukaryota; Fungi; Basidiomycota; Tremellomycetes; Cystofilobasidiales; Mrakiaceae
Description: tRNA-Gln (TTG) (tRNA-Gln-TTG-1-1)
Rfam family: tRNA
About the family: Transfer RNA (tRNA) molecules are approximately 80 nucleotides in length. Their secondary structure includes four short double-helical elements and three loops (D, anti-codon, and T loops).
Source: RNAcentral